ACUCAAAUGAAUAGACGGGGGCUCACACAAGCGGUGGAGCAUGUUGCUUAAUUCGAAGCAACGCGAAGAACCUUACCUGGGUUUGACAUGUACGGAUUAGUUGGCGGAAACGUCAAUGACACCCGCAAGGGUGGAACGUGCACAGGUGCUGCAUGGCUGUCGUCAGCUCGUGCUGUGAAGUGUCGGGUUAAGUCCCUUAACGAGCGCAACCCCUGUCGCUAGUUGCCAGCGAGUAAUGUCGGGUACUCUAGCGAGACUGCCGGUGUCAAACCGGAGGAAGGCGGGGAUGACGUCAAGUCCUCAUGGCCCUUACAUCCAGGGUUGCAAACGUGCUACAAUGGCGCGUACAGAGCGACGCGAGGCCGCAAGGCGGAGCAAAUCGCAAAAAGCGCGCCCCAGUUCGGAUUGCAGGCUGCAACUCGCCUGCAUGAAGCCGGAAUCGCUAGUAAUCGGAGAUCAGCUACGCUCCGGUGAAUAAGUUCCUGAGCCUUGUACACACCGCCCGU
Molecule: ribosomal RNA, 506 nt
Filed under: uncultured bacterium
Lineage: Bacteria
Description: partial 16S ribosomal RNA
Rfam family: Bacterial small subunit ribosomal RNA
Source: RNAcentral